This 925-nucleotide ribosomal RNA is filed under the name endophytic bacterium. Its description in RNAcentral is "bacterial SSU rRNA". The record is from RNAcentral.
CAGUURMSGGCGUCUAUMAUGCAGUCGAGCGGACAGAAGGGAGCUUGCUCCCGGAUGUUAGCGGCGGACGGGUGAGUAACACGUGGGUAACCUGCCUGUAAGACUGGGAUAACUCCGGGAAACCGGAGCUAAUACCGGAUAGUUCCUUGAACCGCAUGGUUCAAGGAUGAAAGACGGUUUCGGCUGUCACUUACAGAUGGACCCGCGGCGCAUUAGCUAGUUGGUGAGGUAACGGCUCACCAAGGCGACGAUGCGUAGCCGACCUGAGAGGGUGAUCGGCCACACUGGGACUGAGACACGGCCCAGACUCCUACGGGAGGCAGCAGUAGGGAAUCUUCCGCAAUGGACGAAAGUCUGACGGAGCAACGCCGCGUGAGUGAUGAAGGUUUUCGGAUCGUAAAGCUCUGUUGUUAGGGAAGAACAAGUGCAAGAGUAACUGCUUGCACCUUGACGGUACCUAACCAGAAAGCCACGGCUAACUACGUGCCAGCAGCCGCGGUAAUACGUAGGUGGCAAGCGUUGUCCGGAAUUAUUGGGCGUAAAGGGCUCGCAGGCGGUUUCUUAAGUCUGAUGUGAAAGCCCCCGGCUCAACCGGGGAGGGUCAUUGGAAACUGGGAAACUUGAGUGCAGAAGAGGAGAGUGGAAUUCCACGUGUAGCGGUGAAAUGCGUAGAGAUGUGGAGGAACACCAGUGGCGAAGGCGACUCUCUGGUCUGUAACUGACGCUGAGGAGCGAAAGCGUGGGGAGCGAACAGGAUUAGAUACCCUGGUAGUCCACGCCGUAAACGAUGAGUGCUAAGUGUUAUGGGGGUUUCCGCCCCUUAGUGCUGCAGCUAACGCAUUAAGCACUCCGCCUGGGGGAGUACGGUCGCAGACUGGAAACUCAAGUACUUGACGGGGCGUCCCCGGUCAAYCGAGAGGSUUSU